GAGGAAGGUCCCCCACAUUGGAACUGAGACACGGUCCAAACUCCUACGGGAGGCAGCAGUGAGGAAUAUUGGUCAAUGGGCGCAGGCCUGAACCAGCCAAGUAGCGUGAAGGAUGACUGCCCUAUGGGUUGUAAACUUCUUUUAUAUGGGAAUAAAGUUUUCCACGUGUGGAAUUUUGUAUGUACCAUAUGAAUAAGGAUCGGCUAACUCCGUGCCAGCAGCCGCGGUAAUACGGAGGAUCCGAGCGUUAUCCGGAUUUAUUGGGUUUAAAGGGAGCGUAGGUGGACAGUUAAGUCAGUUGUGAAAGUUUGCGGCUCAACCGUAAAAUUGCAGUUGAUACUGGCUGUCUUGAGUACAGUAGAGGUGGGCGGAAUUCGUGGUGUAGCGGUGAAAUGCUUAGAUAUCACGAAGAACUCCGAUUGCGAAGGCAGCUCACUGGACUGCAACUGACACUGAUGCUCGAAAGUGUGGGUAUCAAACAGGAUUAGAUACCCUGGUAGUCCACACAGUAAACGAUGAAUACUCGCUGUUUGCGAUAUACAGUAAGCGGGCCAAGCGAAAGCAUUAAGUAUUCCACCUGGGG
Molecule: ribosomal RNA, 583 nt
Filed under: uncultured bacterium
Lineage: Bacteria
Description: bacterial SSU rRNA
Rfam family: Bacterial small subunit ribosomal RNA
Source: RNAcentral